GAAGCGGAUUGAUAAAGCUUCGGAUAACACCAGAGAGAGAUAUAAUUUAAGAAGAAGAGAUGUUCAUUUUAAGGAAAAUGAUUUAGUUUGGAAAAAGAACUAUGUUCUGUCUGAUAAAGCUAAUUAUUUUACAUCUAAGUUUGCUGAUAGAUUUGUUGGACCUUUUAGAGUAAAGCGUAAGGUUGGUUAUUGUACAUAUGAAUUAAUAAAUGAUAAUGGUAAGUCUAUUGGUCACUGGCAUGUGAAAGACUUGAAACCUCACCCACAGAACUCUGAUAGCCACGUUGAAUCGGAUUCUGAUGUAGAUAGUGUAACAUAGUAUGUAUUUUUAACAAGUUUCUUUGGGAUUCAAUUCAAAGAAACUUAAUUUUCUUUCCGGAAGGAAAGGUGGAGUUAUUACGGUUGAAAAUUUAGUAGUAACGUUUGUUGAGUUUUGGUUGUUUAUAACCGAUUAUUUUGUCCUUGGAGGAUGUAUAAUUUGUAUGUUUGGAUGUAUAUGCUUUUUGUGUGAGUCAGUGAGAGAAGAUUUUUGUUGUAGAGUUUUUUGUUUUGAACGCCUUGUUAGCAAAUCAACAACGUUCAUUCUUUUCAAUAAACAUUUUUGAGAAAGCACUUGAAGCCUGGUCGGCGAUUUGGAUUCCCAGUUUUUUUAAUUGAAAUGGUACUUUUUCAAUCCUUUGGUGGGAUGUACUGGGAAUUCUCUUAUUGAGGUAUCCGUUGGUGUGCUGGAAAUUUGGGGCACGUAAAGAUUUGUCUUGGAAAAUCCUCUAGAGAUUAAUUCGAUGUUUAUUGAUGGCCAGGCUGAGAGUCGUGUAAUAGACCCUUUUGUAUGUUAAAGGGUGUUCCGGUAUUCAGUAAUUGUAUGUAUUUAUCGAUCCUGAGGCUUUAAAGAAGUAAUAGAAGUACAUUUAUUUACCAGAUUUACAUUUAUUCAGUAUAUUGGAAAUAAUACAUUUGGCAGAUUUAUUUAGAAGUUCGAUAUUUGACGUUUAACCUUUUGACAUUUUGACAAAAUUUAAGGAAGAUUGCAGUGUGUUUAUCCAGGCAAAUGAUUUUUUUAUUGAAGAAAAUAAGGACGGUAAUAGAUUUUAUUUUAUUUUAUGGGAGAAAACAAGAAAGAACAAGGUACAAUUAAGAUUGGGUUAAGGGGUCUAAAAAGGGGACUAAAAUACAAUGAUUUUUAUAUUUAUGUGAAGGAAACAGCUGGUUCUGGUUUAUUUUUUUUUAAUUAAUUACUUACUUUUGUUCUUAUAAACUAUUGAAAUCAAAAUUAAUAUUUGUAUGUAAAAAGGGACUUAAAAUUUUGUUGACAUUAUAUUCUCUAUAGUUA
Long non-coding RNA from Diabrotica virgifera virgifera (western corn rootworm), 1330 nucleotides. RefSeq lists it as uncharacterized. The transcript has 2 exons. The record is from RefSeq and is a predicted model, not a curated record. NCBI's taxonomy places the organism in Eukaryota, Metazoa, Arthropoda, Insecta, Coleoptera, Chrysomelidae.